RNAcentral lists this RNase P RNA (364 nucleotides) under Clostridium aromativorans. RNAcentral describes it as "RNase P RNA component class A". It matches the Rfam family "Bacterial RNase P class A". Rfam says of the family: Ribonuclease P (RNase P) is a ubiquitous endoribonuclease, found in archaea, bacteria and eukarya as well as chloroplasts and mitochondria. Its best characterised activity is the generation of mature 5'-ends of tRNAs by cleaving the 5'-leader elements of precursor-tRNAs. The record is from RNAcentral. Lineage: Bacteria; Bacillati; Bacillota; Clostridia; Eubacteriales; Clostridiaceae.
UAAGUAAAUCAGACAAUCGCUGCUAUAGUAUUAUAGGAGAGGAAAGUCCGAGCUUCACAGGGCAGGGUGCUGGGUAAUGCCCAGUCAGGGUGACCUGAAGGAAAGUGCAACAGAAAUAUACCACUGCAGGCAGCAGAAUAUGACAAUUUGUCAUGCAGUAAGGAUGGAAAGGCGAGGUAAGAGCUCACCAGCGCAGGGGUGACUCUGCGGCUGUGUAAACCCCACCUGAAGCAAGAUCGAAUAGGAAAGUACAAAAAAGUGGCCCGCUUUGCUUUCGGGUAGUAUCGCUUGAGCCCAUUGGUAACAAUGGGCCUAGAUAGAUGAUUGUCUAAUACAGAACUCGGCUUAUAGAUUUACUUACCGC